RNAcentral lists this ribosomal RNA (253 nucleotides) under uncultured bacterium. RNAcentral's name for it is "partial 16S ribosomal RNA". It matches the Rfam family "Bacterial small subunit ribosomal RNA", at positions 524 to 776 of the family's 1533-position model. The record is from RNAcentral.
GACGAACCGUGCGAACGUUGUUCGGAAUCACUGGGCUUAAAGGGCGCGUAGGCGGCUUCGCAAGUCAGGGGUGAAAUCUUUCGGCUCAACCGGAAAAGUGCCUCUGAUACUGCGGAGCUCGAGGGAGGUAGGGGCAGACGGAACUUCCGGUGGAGCGGUGAAAUGCGUUGAUAUCGGAAGGAACGCCGGUGGCGAAAGCGGUCUGCUGGCCCUCUACUGACGCUGAGGCGCGAAAGCCAGGGGAGCAAACGGG